ACUCAAAGGAAUAGACGGGGGCCCGCACAAGCGGUGGAGCAUGUGGAUUAAUACGUCACUAACCGUAGAACCUUACCCAGGCUUGACAUCUGGCGGAUCCCCUCGAAACGGGGGAGUGCCCGCAAGGGAGCGCCAAGACAGGUGUUGCAUGGCUGUCGUCAGCUCGUGUCGUGAGAUGUUGGGUUAAGUCCCGCAACGAGCGCAACCCUCACCGCCUGUUGCCAGCAUUGAGUUGGGCACUCUGGCGGAACUGCCCGGGUAACCGGGAGGAAGGUGAGGACGACGUCAAGUCAGCAUGGCCCGUACGCCUGGGGCUUCACACAUGCUACAAUGGCCGGUACAGAGGGUCCCGAUACCGCGAGGUGGAGGCAAUCCCAAAAAGCCGGUCUCAGUUCGGAUCGCAGGCUGCAACUCGCCUGCGUGAAGUCGGAAUCGCUAGUAACGGCCGGUCAGCUAAACGGCCGUGAAUACGUUCCCGGGCCUUGUACACACCGCCCGU
Molecule: ribosomal RNA, 499 nt
Filed under: uncultured bacterium
Lineage: Bacteria
Description: partial 16S ribosomal RNA
Rfam family: Bacterial small subunit ribosomal RNA
Source: RNAcentral